RNAcentral lists this ribosomal RNA (275 nucleotides) under uncultured bacterium. Its description in RNAcentral is "partial 16S ribosomal RNA". It matches the Rfam family "Bacterial small subunit ribosomal RNA", at positions 523 to 796 of the family's 1533-position model. The record is from RNAcentral.
AUACGGAGGGUGCGAGCGUUAAUCGGAAUUACAGGGCGUAAAGCGUGUGUAGGCGGUUAUAUCAGUCAAGUGUGAAAUGGCUUGGCUCAACCAAGCAACUGCGCUUGAUACUGUAUGGCUUGAGUACGGAAGAGGAAAGUGGAAUGUAAGGUGUAGCGGUGAAAUGCGUAGAUAUCUUAUAGAACACCUAUGGCGAAGGCAGCUUUCUGGUCCGAUACUGACGCUGAGUACACGAAAGCUUGGGGAGCGAACGGGAUUAGAUACCCCAGUAGUCC